AUUUACGUCUUUUUAAGACUCCAAGAAAGCUGGAAGCCGCAUAGACUUGUAGGUGGAAAAAUGAAAAUAUUUCAAUUAAAAACGCGCAAUGGCUUGGCGAUUUAUUGAACGACAACAAAAUUGUAGUAGGCUGUGGUAAAACCCAUUGUCGUUUGCUCAUAAGUCUUUCACUCUUCUCCAACGGCUCAGCACAAAAGUCCCUUUUUUAUUUAUGCAAGUCGUUAAAAAAACUUUUUUUUUUCUGAUGAUUCCCGAAAAAGCAUUUAUUUUUUUUUCAUUUCCAACGAUUUUGUGGGAGGGAGCUGAGCUGCGUCAAUGGUUUUAUUUCUGGGAACUGUUCGUUCUUCACAUCCUCUAAUCAAUUUUGCUCCUUAUAGACGCCAAAUAUCAGUCCGCAGCCGUGCAAUUUCACUUCCCGCAAAUGGGUUCUUUCCUUUCAGACGAAUCUUCCAGGCUUGCCUUCAAUCUAAUUAUGCAAAAGGGAAUGCUGGAGUGGAGUUACCUGCUGACCAAUCAGAAAUCAUAUUCCUAGGUACGGGAACUAGCGAAGGUAUUCCUCGCGUGAGCUGUUUGACCAAUCCUCUUAAGACAUGCGAGGUUUGCUCAAAAGCUGCAGAACCAGGUAACAAAAACAAGAGACUUAACACAAGCAUCCUUAUCCGUUACCGUCCAUCGUCCGAGAGAUCUAACAACAUUCUUAUAGAUGCUGGAAAGUUUUUUUACCACAGUGCUCUCCGAUGGUUUCCUGCCUAUGGGAUAAGAACAAUUGAUGCAGUUAUAAUUACACAUUCUCAUGCUGAUGCAGUUGGAGGCCUUGAUGAUCUUCGUGAUUGGACCAACAAUGUCCAGCCCUAUGUUCCAAUAUACGUGGCCCCACGCGAUUUUGAGGUAAUGAAGAAAACUCAUUACUAUUUAGUGGAUACGAGUGUGAUUUUACCUGGUGCUGCUGUAUCAGAUUUGCAAUUCAAUAUUAUACAUAAGGAUCCAUUCACUGUACAUGGGUUGAAGAUUACCCCUUUACCUGUGUGGCAUGGUCAGGGUUACCGUUCCCUUGGUUUUCGUUUUGGUGAUAUUUGUUACAUUAGUGAUGUUAGUGAAAUACCUGAAGAAACUUAUCCACUCCUAAAGGAUUGUGAAACCCUGAUUCUGGAUGCUUUACGUCCAGAUCGGUCUUCUUCAACGCAUUUUGGACUUCCAAAGGCUUUAGAGGAAGUUCGGAAAAUUCAACCAAAAAGAACACUGUUCACCGGUAUGUUUGUGCCCACUGUGAUGUAACUAUUGUUCCAAGGAAAUUCGUUUUCUAUAUGGUUUUACACCUUUAGUUACCAAUCAAACAUAGCAGGUAUGAUGCAUUUGAUGGAUCAUGAGAAAGUGAAUAAUUAUCUGCUGAAAUUGAUGGAGACAGAGGGUCUAGAUGCACAAUUGAGUUACGAUGGUCUUCGUUUACCAGUAACUCUCUAGCCAUUAAACACUCUGGCAUUUUCUCUUGAAUUCAACUGUCAAUUCUCCCCUCAAAGUUCUUGCAGAUUUUCGGAUAACUUGUCCUGCCGUUAUUCCUUUUACUGAAAUUGUAAUUUUUGCAAACAAGAUAGACAAACAACUGUUGGAAAGUGUUAAUUGAUACUCCUGAGAACGAUUGAAAACGGUUUGAUUUGUUUGCAUUGCACCAAUUUGGUAAUGCUAUCAUAUAUACAGUUUUAGAAAACUGGCCUUGAAGGGUGAUUGAGAAUCUGAGGUCCCUUUGUUAAUAAAUUCAUAA
Molecule: RNA transcript, 1759 nt
Organism: Ziziphus jujuba (common jujube)
Lineage: Eukaryota; Viridiplantae; Streptophyta; Magnoliopsida; Rosales; Rhamnaceae
Gene name: putative hydrolase C777.06c
Exons: 12
Source: RefSeq, a predicted model, not a curated record